RNAcentral lists this ribosomal RNA (245 nucleotides) under uncultured bacterium. RNAcentral's name for it is "partial 16S ribosomal RNA". It matches the Rfam family "Bacterial small subunit ribosomal RNA", at positions 532 to 776 of the family's 1533-position model. The record is from RNAcentral.
GGGCUAGCGUUGCUCGGAAUCACUGGGCGUAAAGGGUGCGUAGGCGGGUUUUUAAGUCAGGGGGGAAAUCCUGGAGCUCAACUCCAGAACUGCCUUUGAUACUGAAGAUCUUGAGUCCGGGAGAGGUGAGUGGAACUGCGAGUGUAGAGGUGAAAUUCGUAGAUAUUCGCAAGAACACCAGUGGCGAAGGCGGCUCACUGGCCCGGUACUGACGCUGAGGUGCGAAAGCGUGGGGAGCAAACAGG